AUGCCCCGCCUCCUCGCCCCGCUCCCCUCCCGCUCGCGCCGCCGCCGCCUCCUCGCCAUUCUGUCGAACACCUUCUCGGCGUCCACCGCCUCACCACACCGCGCGCCGCCCCCGCCGCCGCCGCCGCUGCCGCAGCUCUCCCCGCUGCUCCCCCGGACCGCGGAGUCCUACGCCUCCAUCUCCGAGGCCGCGUCCGACAUCGCCGUCUCCUUCCGCGACUGGUUCCUCGCGCCCCGCGCCGCCGAGCCGCUCGCCGCCCUCGACUUGAUCUACGAGGCCCUCGCCUCGGACGACGCGGCGGCGCUCGAGGCGCUCCCGCUCUCGGAGGAGCUCGUCCUCUCGGUGCUCCGCCACCGCCCGCGGAGGCUCCCCGACGGCGACGCGGUUCUGCUGCUCCGCCUCAAGUUCUUCGACUGGUCGGGCCGCCGCCCGCACUACCUCCACACGCGCGCCGUCUACCAUGCCGUCUUCCGCCUGCUCUCGCGCGCGCGCCGCGCCUCUGUGGUGCUCGACUGGCUCCGCCUCUUCACCACCACCUCCGCGUCCACCGGGCAGCCGCGCUUCCAUCAGACGCUCGUCGUAGGCUACGCCGUCGCGGGCGACCCCCAGCGCGGGCUCAGCGUCCUCGGCCGCAUGCGCUUCCGCGGCAUGGACCUGGACGCCGUCUCCUCCCGCAUACUCCUCAACUCACUUGUCGAUGCGUCAUUCCACGACUUGGCCGACUCCUUCGCCCGCAACCUUGCUGCUAGUCCCGUUGCAACCUGCAUCCGCAUCAAGAGCCUGUGCCGCCGCGCCCGCUUCAGCGAUGCCACUGCACUACUUGACACCCUCCCUUUCGCCGAAGCAUCCAGAGGCCCCGCCGCUGGCUCUAUUGUCACUGAGUUCUGCCGGCGUGGGCGCUUUGACGAGGCAGCCCAGAUUGUUGGUAAAUUCUCGUCAUGUGAUGUGUACGGCGCGUGGAUCCAUGGUCUCAUUGAGGCUGGGAUGCUUGAUACUACAUUGCAGUUCCUUUCUGAUAAGAAGGAGGCUGAGGGAUAUAUCCCUGAUGGUCAGCGGUAUGAUAAGCUUGUGCACCGCCUUCUCCGCAAGAACAGACUUGGUGAAGUUUAUGAUUUGCUUGUGGAAAUGAUGGAGGAGGGCAUUGCUCCAGGCCGUUCAACCAUGAAUGCCGCGCUUUGCUUCUUUUGCAAAGCCGGGCUUGUGGAAGUUGCCAUGCAUUUGUAUAGAUCAAGAUUGGACCUUGGGAUUAACCCAAACAAGGAUGUCUACAACAAUCUGAUCAGGGCACUGUGCCGAGGUGGGGCCACAGAAGAGGCUUGUCUGGUACUGGAGCAGUCUAUGGAAGAUGGAUACUUUCCUGGCCGUCAGACAUUUGCAAUGUUCGCAAAUGUGCUGUGUCAGGAAGGGAAGCUAGAUAAGGUGAGGGAGCUGCUCGAUAGGGCUCUCAAGCAGGAGGCGUGGCCAAUGGACAAUGUAUUAGCCAAGUACCUUGUUGCAUUGUGCAAGAGUGGGAAUGUGGAUGAGGCAUGUAAAGUGCCUCAGAUAGCGAGCAGCAAGAACCCUGCGGGCCUAUAUCGCUACGAAUCAACUUACAAGAGCUUGAUCAGAGCAUUAAUAUUGAUUAGGAGGGUGGAUGUGCUCCCAAGGCUCAUACUCGAAAUGCAAGAUAUGGGACACAUCCCGACCCGAAGCCUCUACCAGUCGGUUGUUUGUGAAUUGUGUGAGCUGAGUAAGUAUGGUGAGGUUCUUGAGCUGCUGGAGAACCAGUUGCGGAGGAGUGAACUCCAACCCCGUGUGUGCUAUAACUACUUCAUCUCUGGGGCUGGACAUGCUAAGAAGGCUGAUGUGGCCAGGGAGGUGUACAGCCGGAUGGAGUCUGCAGGGAUUGAACCAUCUGUCGAAAGCAAUAUCCUUCUUCUCAUGAGUUAUCUGAGGAGUAAGCGUAUUGGUGACGCACUGACUUUUUUCAACUUCAUUCAUGAGAAGAAGCCACCUGGGACCAAGAUGUAUAACGUAUUUAUAUCUGGUCUAUGUGAAGCUCGGAAGCCAGAGCAGGCAAUGGUAUUUUGGAGGGAAGCAAGGGAUAAAGGAUUAAUACCGAGCAUUGACUGCUAUGAACAGCUUGUGCUCCUUUUGAGCUCUGUUCAAGAUUAUGACAGUGUUGUGAAGAUUAUUGAUGACUUCAGGGAAACAGGGCGCCCUGUUUCAGCGUUCUUGUGUAAUGUGCUUCUGUUGCACACACUGAGGGGCAGCGAUCUUCUCAAGGCUUGGGCGCGUUCAGAAGAUAAAUCCGGGUCUCUUGAAGCAAGCGCUGGAGAGAUCAAAGGUCGGGGUGCAGGACGAUUCUUGAUUGGCCAACUUAUCGAGUUGUUUGCAAGUGGUAUCAGGAACAGGAGUGACUUGGAGGUUUUAGAAGAGGGUCUAGAACAGUUCUUUCCUGUCGACAUUUAUACUUAUAACAUGCUGUUACGAGGAUUGAGCAUGGCAGGGAGGAUGGAUUCUGCCUGUAACAUGUUUGAAAGACUCUGCCAAAGGGGCUAUCUACCGAAUCGAUAUACUUUUGAUAUAAUGGUACAUGGCUUCUGCAAGCAUGGCAGCAGAAGUGAGGCUGAAAGGUGGAUGGAGGCAAUGUACCGAAACGGGUUCUAUCCCACUUGGUACACUAUGAGGUUAUACAACAAUACAUCCUUGCGACCGCAUGAUCAGAAGGCCAUUUCAUUUGUAUAA
RNAcentral lists this ribosomal RNA (2727 nucleotides) under Triticum aestivum (bread wheat). RNAcentral's name for it is "partial small subunit ribosomal RNA". The record is from RNAcentral. Lineage: Eukaryota; Viridiplantae; Streptophyta; Magnoliopsida; Poales; Poaceae.